RNAcentral lists this ribosomal RNA (1123 nucleotides) under uncultured bacterium. RNAcentral describes it as "bacterial SSU rRNA". It matches the Rfam family "Bacterial small subunit ribosomal RNA", at positions 47 to 1162 of the family's 1533-position model. The record is from RNAcentral.
AUUGAUUUUAUGCUUGCAUAAAUGAUUUUUGGAUUCGGAGCGAGUGGCGAACUGGUGAGUAACACGUGGGUAACCUGCCCCGAAGCGGGGGAUAACAUUUGGAAACAAGUGCUAAUACCGCAUAAUUAGUUGGAACCGCAUGGUUCCAACUUGAAAGAUGGCUCUGCUAUCACUUUGGGAUGGACCCGCGCCGUAUUAGUUAGUUGGUGAGAUAAAAGCCCACCAAGACGAUGAUACGUAGCCGACCUGAGAGGGCAAUCGGCCACAUUGGGACUGAGACACGGCCCAGACUCCUACGGGAGGCAGCAGUAGGGAAUCUUCCACAAUGGACGAAAGUCUGAUGGAGCAACGCCGCGUGAGUGAUGAAGGUUUUCGGAUCGUAAAACUCUGUUGUUAAAGAAGAACAAGUGUUAGAGUAACUGUUAACACUUUGACGGUAUUUAACCAGAAAGCCACGGCUAACUACGUGCCAGCAGCCGCGGUAAUACGUAGGUGGCAAGCGUUGUCCGGAUUUAUUGGGCGUAAAGCGAGCGCAGGCGGUUUUGUAAGUCUGCUGUGAAAGCCCUCAGCUCAACUGAGGAAGUGCAGUGGAAACUACAAAACUUGAGUACAGAAGAGGAAAGUGGAACUCCAUGUGUAGCGGUGAAAUGCGUAGAUAUAUGGAAGAACACCAGUGGCGAAGGCGGCUUUCUGGUCUGUUACUGACGCUGAGGCUCGAAAGCAUGGGUAGCGAACAGGAUUAGAUACCCUGGCAGUCCAUGCCGUAAACGAUGAAUACUGGGUGCUGGAGGGUUUCCGCCCUUCAGUGCCGCAGCUAACGCAUUAAGUAUUCCGCCUGGGGAGUACGACCGCAAGGUUGAAACUCAAAGGAAUUGACGGGGGCCCGCACAAGUGGUGGAGCAUGUGGUUUAAUUCGAUGCUACGCGAAGAACCUUACCAGCUCUUGACAUCUUCUGCCAACCCAAGAGAUUGGGCGUUCCCUUCGGGGACAGAAUGACAGGUGGUGCAUGGUUGUCGUCAGCUCGUGUCGUGAGAUGUUGGGUUAAGUCCCGCAACGAGCGCAACCCUUAUUAUUAGUUGCCAGCAUUUAGUUGGGCACUCUAGUGAGACUGCCGGUGAUAAA